RNAcentral lists this long non-coding RNA (799 nucleotides) under Brachypodium distachyon (stiff brome). RNAcentral describes it as "long non-coding RNA (BDIS_LNC002835)". Lineage: Eukaryota; Viridiplantae; Streptophyta; Magnoliopsida; Poales; Poaceae. The record is from RNAcentral.
CCAGGAUAGAUUUUGAGGAGUAGCCGUGGCCCAUCAUCAUCCUCAUACUAUUUUUAUGAUAUCAUUUAAAGCAUUUAUCACAUGGAAGAUAAUACGAGUAUGUUUAUUUAAGAGCUCUUUUACGGUACUCUGUAAUAAAUAUGAGCCGUCUAUCUAGUACUAUCUAUUAAAUUAGAGUUGGUGAUUGUCGCAGGCGCCGUACAUCACCUUUCAUUAAAUUUACAUGAGUAUGCCACCGCGCCCCCUCAUGUACGCCCCGAUGCAAAAUGUAGUUAUAUAUAACCAGGCCGGCCACCGCAGAAUUAAUUAAAGAGUAAUUUCACAAAACCACAGGUUUAAUUUGAGGCAGGCAUCUCAACAAGCCGUCACUUUUGCUAAUUUUGUCCGCAAAAUCACAUGUUUUGUGUCCAAUUGUCUCACAUCAUCCAAAACAACGGUUUAAACGCAUUUGAUGGUAUUUCUUACAUGUGGAUCCCGCAUGUCAGUCGUUGCGUCUUUUUCGUUGAGCCCCUCACCUUUUUCUUUUUUUUUUCCUCAAAACAGGUGGUCGUAUGAAAUUUACCGUUCAUUAAAUUUGGACGUACCUACAUAAAGCUACAUGCAUAUAGUACAAUACUCGAUAUUAGUCGAUACGAUCGAUCUCACUGCCGGCCGGCCGUACGUCCUGCGAUGGACGUUCCUGAUCGAUCGACGCGCCCCCGUACGUGUCAGCCAAUUAAUCUGUGCUACUCACGCUAGUUUCGUUAGCUCGGGUGUUAUAAAUGCAAGCGCUGAGAAAGAAAGCAGAAGCAAACGUUAG